This 301-nucleotide ribosomal RNA is filed under the name uncultured bacterium. RNAcentral describes it as "partial 16S ribosomal RNA". It matches the Rfam family "Bacterial small subunit ribosomal RNA", at positions 509 to 807 of the family's 1533-position model. The record is from RNAcentral.
CAGUCGCCACGGUAAUACGUAGGGUGCAAGCGUUAAUCGGAAUUAAUGGGCGUAAAGCGUGCGCAGGCGGUUAUAUAAGACAGAUGUGAAAUCCCCGGGCUCAACCUGGGAACUGCAUUUGUGACUGUAUAGCUAGAGUACGGCAGAGGGGGAUGGAAUUCCGCGUGUAGCAGUGAAAUGCGUAGAUAUGCGGAGGAACACCGAUGGCGAAGGCAAUCCCCUGGGCCUGUACUGACGCUCAUGCACGAAAGCGUGGGGAGCAAACAGGAUUAGAUACCCCAGUAGUCCCUGUCUCUUAUAC